Molecule: ribosomal RNA, 237 nt
Filed under: uncultured bacterium
Lineage: Bacteria
Description: partial 16S ribosomal RNA
Rfam family: Bacterial small subunit ribosomal RNA
Source: RNAcentral
CGAACGGGUGAGUAACGCGUGAGGAACCUGCCUCAAAGAGGGGGACAACAGUUGGAAACGACUGCUAAUACCGCAUAAGCCCACGGCUCGGCAUCGAGCAGAGGGAAAAGGAACAAUCCGCUUUGAGAUGGCCUCGCGUCCGAUUAGCUAGUUGGUGAGGUAACGGCCCACCAAGGCGACGAUCGGUAGCCGGACUGAGAGGUUGAACGGCCACAUUGGGACUGAGACACGACCCAG